RNAcentral lists this ribosomal RNA (253 nucleotides) under uncultured bacterium. Its description in RNAcentral is "partial 16S ribosomal RNA". It matches the Rfam family "Bacterial small subunit ribosomal RNA", at positions 524 to 776 of the family's 1533-position model. The record is from RNAcentral.
UACGGAGGGUGCAAGCGUUGUUCGGAAUCACUGGGCGUAAAGCGCACGUAGGCGGCCGAUCGUGUCGAAUGUGAAAGCCCUCGGCUCAACCGAGGAAGUGCAUUCGAAACUGGUCGGCUUGAGUCCGGUAGAGGAGGGUGGAAUUCCGGGUGUAGAGGUGAAAUUCGUAGAUAUCCGGAGGAACACCGGUGGCGAAAGCGGCCCUCUGGGCCGGUACUGACGCUGAGGUGCGAAAGCGUGGGGAGCAAACAGG